CGACGUUAGCGGCGCGCCUAACACAUGCAAGUCGCACGAGAAAGGGAGCAAUCCCCGGUAAAGCGGCGCACGGGUGAGUAACACGUAGGUAAUCUGCCUCUGAGUGGGGAUAACCUUCCGAAAGGAGGGCUAAUACCGCAUGAGACCACGCCUUCGAGAGGAGGAGGGGUCAAAGCCGGCCACUAUACAUAAGCUGGCGCUUGGAGAUGAGCCUGCGGCCCAUCAGCUAGUUGGUAGGGUAAUGGCCUACCAAGGCGUAGACGGGUAGCUGGUCUGAGAGGAUGAUCAGCCACACUGGAACUGAGACACGGUCCAGACUCCUACGGGAGGCAGCAGUGGGGAAUCUUGCGCAAUGGGCGAAAGCCUGACGCAGCGACGCCGCGUGAGUGAUGAAGGCCUUCGGGUUGUAAAGCUCUGUGGAGGGGGAAGAAUAAGGGUGACCCAACACGUCGCCCGAUGACGGUACCCCUUUAGCAAGCACCGGCUAACUCUGUG
Molecule: ribosomal RNA, 495 nt
Filed under: uncultured bacterium
Lineage: Bacteria
Description: bacterial SSU rRNA
Rfam family: Bacterial small subunit ribosomal RNA
Source: RNAcentral